CCUACGGGCGGCAGCAGUGGGGAAUAUUGCACAAUGGGGGAAACCCUGAUGCAGCGACGCCGCGUGAGUGAAUAAGUAUUUCGGUAUGUAAAGCUCUAUCAGCAGGGAAGAAAUAGCGACCUUUGGGUCGCCAGACGGUACCUGAUUAAGAAGCCCCGGCUAACUACGUGCCAGCAGCCGCGGUAAUACGUAGGGGGCAAGCGUUAUCCGGAUUUACUGGGUGUAAAGGGAGCGUAGACGGCAUCGCAAGUCUGAAGUGAAAUGCCGGGGCUUAACCCCGGAACUGCUUAGGAAACUGUGCAGCUAGAGUGCAGGAGAGGUAAGUGGAAUUCCUGGUGUAGCGGUGAAAUGCGUAGAUAUUAGGAGGAACACCAGUGGCGAAGGCGGAUUACUGGACUGUAACUGACGUUGAGGCUCGAAAGCGUGGGGAGCAAACAGGAUUAGAUACCCCUGUAGUC
This 458-nucleotide ribosomal RNA is filed under the name uncultured bacterium. RNAcentral describes it as "partial 16S ribosomal RNA". It matches the Rfam family "Bacterial small subunit ribosomal RNA", at positions 338 to 795 of the family's 1533-position model. The record is from RNAcentral.